This 291-nucleotide ribosomal RNA is filed under the name uncultured bacterium. Its description in RNAcentral is "partial 16S ribosomal RNA". The record is from RNAcentral.
GGACUACUCGGGUUUCUAAUCCUGUUUGCUCCCCACGCUUUCGCGCCUCAGCGUCAGUUAUAGGCCAGAAAGUCGCCUUCGCCACUGGUGUUCCUCCACAUCUCUACGCAUUUCACCGCUACACGUGGAAUUCCACUUUCCUCUCCUACACUCAAGUCAACCAGUUUUGGAUGCGAACCGGGGUUGAGCCCCGGGCUUAAACACCCAACUUAAUUGACCGCCUGCGCGCGCUUUACGCCCAAUAAUUCCGGACAACGCUUGCCCCCUACGUAUUACCGCGGCUGCUGGCAC